RNAcentral lists this ribosomal RNA (239 nucleotides) under uncultured bacterium. RNAcentral's name for it is "partial 16S ribosomal RNA". It matches the Rfam family "Bacterial small subunit ribosomal RNA", at positions 95 to 334 of the family's 1533-position model. The record is from RNAcentral.
CCGGCGCACGGGUGAGUAACACGUAUCCAACCUGCCGUCUACUCUUGGACAGCCUUCUGAAAGGAAGAUUAAUACAAGAUGGCAUCAUGAGUUCACAUGUUCACAUGGUUAAAGGUAUUCCGGUAGACGAUGGGGAUGCGUUCCAUUAGAUAGUAGGCGGGGUAACGGCCCACCUAGUCUUCGAUGGAUAGGGGUUCUGAGAGGAAGGUCCCCCACAUUGGAACUGAGACACGGUCCAA